AGACGCCCUGGAUUACAUUUAAGCUCGACGAUUGGAUCUUCAACUCUUAAAAACUGCACGGUUAUAAUUUGUUUCUCCACACAGUAUACGUAAACACGAAAGAAACUUUUGACGGACAAGUGAGUGUUGUUAUACCGAACCGUCGGAAGGUUCGGGUGUCUCCACGUACUGAUUCUUAGCAAGUGAUUCGCUAUAAUUAUUCAUUGGCUUUGAUAUUCUAGUUUUCAACGAUAACUCAGUACCAUUUGCAAAGGUUUAUAAGUCAGGAAUUGCGAUGUUUACCAACAUUUUCAAAGGAAUCCAUUCAUCUUUCAAGUCCACAAUCGAAGCACAUCCUGAUCAAGAUAGACAAGAAACCUUGACAAAAUUCGUUUCUAGAGCACCUCCAAGGAAAAACACUUGCAACAGAAACUCGACGCCCAAACCUUUUGCAUUGUCAAUCUUUAGGAAUUGGGAAAUGGAUUAUUCACCCAUUCAGUGCCAAGACGAAUCACAUAUUUCCUUUUAUCAAAGUUUUCAUAGCUUAUUUCAAUAUUCCGACAAAUCGCAUGAAGCUGUUUAUAAAAGUACUCAACAAACUUUGGAAAGAGGAAAUAGCACUUCCUCUUGUGAUUCUCAUUUUGAAACUAUUUCCGAUGAAAGUGAAGACUCUUUCGAGAUAGAGUAUAAAAGACCUCGUGAACCCUAUGACGACGAGGACGACGACCAGAAAGAAUCUAAGAAGUUUAGAGUUAGUGACUUGCAUGGCAAACCUGUUAAAAAUUUAUUCGAGGUAAUCGCUGCAAUUGAGGAAGGGGAAAUCACUAUUUGACUUGCAUACAGUUGAUAAUUUUAUUAUGGAAAGAUGAUGGGUGUUAAAAAUGUGUAAUUAUGUCAAUACUUUCAUUUUUGGUGAAUGAAUAUCUUUUCAUAUGUGAAUAUGAAAUUUAAGUUUUUUUAAAGAACAGUGUAAAUAAGCAUGAUAAAAUCAAUCAAUCAAUAUUAAAGCAUUACGUAAUUUAUUAAUUUUUAUAUCUCCAAUAAGGAUCGAUUUUGUGAUUAUUUGUAUAAUUAUAUUAUUAUUGAAAAGAUACGUUCGAAAUACAUUCCAGAAAGUGCAAUGUUUAGUUAUUAUGC
Phymastichus coffea is the source of this 1116-nucleotide long non-coding RNA. RefSeq lists it as uncharacterized. The record is from RefSeq and is a predicted model, not a curated record. The transcript is spliced from 3 exons. NCBI's taxonomy places the organism in Eukaryota, Metazoa, Arthropoda, Insecta, Hymenoptera, Eulophidae.